RNAcentral lists this long non-coding RNA (1043 nucleotides) under Oncorhynchus kisutch (coho salmon). RNAcentral's name for it is "lncRNA (ENSOKIG00005049768.1)". Lineage: Eukaryota; Metazoa; Chordata; Actinopteri; Salmoniformes; Salmonidae. The record is from RNAcentral.
CCGAUGCCCUGGCUAGCUGUCUAAAUCACCAACCAACCUCUCCACUCACCGGACCCUUUUGAUCACUCGACUAAGCAUGCCUCUCCUUAAUGUCAAUAUGUCUUGUCCAUUGCUGUUCUGGUUAGUGUUUAUUGGCUUAUUUCACUGUAGAGCCUCUAGUCCUGCUCACUAUACCUUAUCCAACCUAUUAGUUCCACCACCCACACAUGCAAUGACAUCUCCUGGUUUCAACGAUGUUUCUAGAGACAAUAUCUCUCUCUUCAUCACUCAAUACCUAGGUUUACCUCCACUGUAUUCACAUCCUACCAUACAUUUGUCUGUACAUUAUACCUUGAUGCUAUUUUAUCGCCCCCAGAAACCUCCUUUUACUCUAUGUUCCAGACGUUCUAGACGACCAAUUCUCAUAGCUUUUAGCCGUACCCUUAUUCUACUCCUCCUAUGUUCCUCUGGCGAUGUAGAGGUGAAUCCAGGCCCUGCAGUGCCUAGCUCCACUCCUAUUCCCCAGGCACUCUCUUUUGACGACUUCUGUAACCGUAAUAGCCUUGGUUUCAUGCAUGUUAACACUAGAAGCCUCCUCCCUAAGUUUGUUCUAUUCACUGCUUUAGCACACUCUGCCAACCCGGAUGUUCUAGCUGUGUCUGAAUCCUGGCUUAGGAAGACCACCAAAAAUUCAGACAUUUUAAUUCCAAACUACAACAUUUUCAGACAAGAUAGAACUGCCAAAGGGGGCAGUGUUGCAAUCUACUGCAAAGAUAGCCUGCAGAGUUCUGUCCUACUAUCCAGGUCUGUACCCAAACAAUUUGAACUUCUACUUUUAAAAAUCCACCUCUCUAAAAACAAGUCUCUCACCGUUGCCGCCUGCUAUAGACCACCCUCUGCCCCCAGCUGUGCUCUGGACACCAUAUGUGAACUGAUUGCCCCCCAUCUAUCUUCAGAGUUCGUGCUGCUAGGCGACCUAAACUGGAACAUGCUUAACACCCCAGCCAUCCUACAAUCUAAACUUGAUGCCCUCAAUCUCACACAAAUUAUCAAUGAAGCUACCA